RNAcentral lists this ribosomal RNA (253 nucleotides) under uncultured bacterium. RNAcentral describes it as "partial 16S ribosomal RNA". It matches the Rfam family "Bacterial small subunit ribosomal RNA", at positions 524 to 776 of the family's 1533-position model. The record is from RNAcentral.
UACGUAGGUGGCAAGCGUUGUCCGGAAUUAUUGGGCGUAAAGCGCGCGCAGGUGGUUUCUUAAGUCUGAUGUGAAAUCCCUCAGCUCAACUGAGGACGUGCAUCCGAAACUGCAGGGCUUGAGUACUGAAGAGGAUCGCGGAAUUCCCGGUGUAGAGGUGAAAUUCGUAGAUAUCGGGAGGAACACCAGUGGCGAAGGCGGCGAUCUGGGCAGAUACUGACGCUGAGGUGCGAAAGCGUGGGGAGCAAACAGG